CCCUUAGAUGUUCUGGGCCGCACGCGUGCUACACUGAGUGGAUCAGCGGGUCAGGUUGCGCGAAAGUGUUUCCUAAUCUUGAAAUCCGCUCGUGAUGGGGAUUGACGGUUGCAAUUUUCUGUCAUGAACGAGGAAUACCUUGUAAGCGCGGGUCAUCAUCCCGCGCUGAAUACGUCCCUGCCCUUUGUACACACCGCCCGUCGCUCCUACCGAUUGAGUGGUCCGGUGAGGCUUUGGGAUCUGGAUGGAAAGAGCGUUUCGCUGUUUCUGCCCGGAAAACUCAGUCGAACCUUAUCAUUUAGAGGAAGGAGAAGUCGUGACA
Molecule: ribosomal RNA, 322 nt
Filed under: uncultured eukaryote
Lineage: Eukaryota
Description: partial 18S ribosomal RNA
Rfam family: Eukaryotic small subunit ribosomal RNA
Source: RNAcentral